CUCCUGUGUAAAUCAUUGAUCUUCACAUCACACUUGUUGAGUGGUCAACGAGAUUUGUUAUUUAGAUUAUUCCUGAAAGGAAAAGCUCAGGCUUUUGAGAAUUCCUUGUCUGAUGUCACCCAGGCAGUCACAGUAGAAGACAGAGCUGAUAUAAAAAUCCCUCACCUGCCUGAACUGCAAAGCUUCUGGGAUUACUGAUCCCUGAAAUGCAGGUGACUCUUGAUGAUAAUCUGGGGGAUGGUUUAUAUGAUCAGAUUCUUCCAGUCCUGUAAAUGGGUUCCGUGGCCCCAGCCCCGGGAGAGCUGGUCAUAAGGGCCAUAUCGUGAGGGGUGGGAUGGGAAGGCAAGGUCUAAGAGCUGGCAUCACUGAGAUUCCACACUCGCUAAACACAGACCCCAGAGCCUAAUUGUUGUCAGGUUCUGUUCUGGAUUUGAGAGUGUGUUCAGACAUGAUUCUUGCCCUUCAGGGGUCACUGCCUGGGUGGAAGUAACCUUUACAUAAAUCUGGGGAGGAUGACAAUUAAGUAGAUGGGCUGUUAUGAUUCUCAGUGUGCCCAGGCUCGCUCUUCCAGGCACUCGUGGGACUAACGAGAGUCAUGUUAUUCACUCAUACACUGAUUUAUUACCCUUGAAUUGAUCAUUUGUCCCACAGUAAGUGAAACAAGCGAUGAGGAACCUGAGUUUUGUCCCCUUUCCUAGCACUGAUUGUAUCUGUCAGUCAGGCGCCCUGCGUAUGCAUUGUGAAAUGGUGGUAUUUCUUGCCCAAUGGGACUGCACUGUCAGUUCUGAGAAUCAGGGGAGACACGUGGGUAGGACAGCACACUGACACAUAUGGCACCCCCCCCACCCCAUGAGACAGCAUUGUCGAUGCUCAGGUGACCCGAUGUAGACCGCGGUGCUAAAUCUGAGCAUGUUUAGUGAUCUUGGUGGCUAUGAAAAUACAGACUGCCGGUCCCUAAUUCUGGAGACUCUGAGGGUGUGCACCCCAGAAUUCUGCAUUUUAAGAAGCACUUUAACUAAUUCUGAUGAAGAUGAUCUGAGUGUCCCACUGAGAAACACUGGUGUGCGAUGCACCAGUAUUGAGGAUUCUCAGGGAGCGAUGUUUUUUCAGGAUGGUCCAAGGGCCCUCACGAGACUUUUGCCUUGGGUGUAAUUGUAUGUGUUCGAAAGUGAUGUCUCUCACUUCCAGUGCUUGUCAGCAUGCUCUGUGCAGGGAUUUGCUCUCAGCAGAUAUCAAAAACUAUAAGUCUUCAGGUCACCGAGCUAGAGUGUGGGCGAUCUUUUAUUUUGGUUUUCUUUAUUGCAAUGCGGAGUCUCCCGAGAAGAGAUUCAGACUGAACAGCUUUGUGUCGGACUUUGGAAGACCGCUGGUGCCCAAGGGGUUCUCUGGCAGCACAAUGACGAAUCUAGGUCCCUCUUUCACUGCUACGUCAAUGAAGUGGACCGCAUGGACAAGGCCAAAGCUGGUAUCCCAACCAUAGCCCUUGACAGUGAUGUUCGGCUCCAGGAAGCCAUCAGAUGCAGCAGGUGGCCAGAGAAGGAGCCUAACGGGCUCAUGAAAUGUGACACCCCCAGCUUCAUCAACACGGACCAGAACUCUUCCUUUGGGGAAGAUGAUCUCCUGAUUUUGGAACCACCGAUUGUUCUAGAAAAUAAGCCAGUUGCCCAGACCUCACACAAAGACUUGAAUUGGAAAUGUGCUUUGUCAAGUGUUUCUCUGAAGAUGUGAAGUCUGUCUUUGUAUGGCAGGAAGUCCCCUUUCACAAAAUUGUAUGUGUUUGUGUCUGAGAGAGAGAAAUGGAGACAGACAGAAAGACGGAGACAGAAGAGAGCCCCCUCAGAAGAGAGCUAGUUAAGCACCCCAGACUGACGAAGACAGUGGAGAAUGCCUCUGAGUUUGGCACUGAUUGCCUGGAGAAUGCUGAAACCCAGGGAAGUGGGCAGCACAGACGUUUACUCAUUUAAUCCUGCCAACACAGUAGGAGAUAGAGUCUACAUAUUCCUCGCUACUUAAAAGAUCCCUGCCUUCUCUCUGCUCCUCCUGUCCAUGUCUCUCCCUCCACUUUUCCCCUUCUCCCCUCCUCCUCCCAUCUUCUCCGUCCCUCCCUUCCCCAACUUCUCUUGCAGAACACAGAGAGGAUAGCUGGCCCUCCUGCGCAUGCGCAGUCUGUGCCAGCUGGACCGAGGGUUGGAAGCUGCAACUCCGAGCCGGGGAUCGGCCCCAAAGGCUUCUCAGCUCUUUCGCCCGCUCAGUGGUGUGGGCGCUGCUCCCCGGGCUGAGAGCCUCCGGCUGUGAACCCCAGCUUCUCCUGUUGGAGUCGGGAAAAGGGAGCGUCAGUGCUGAGCGAGCUUCCGUCUCCUCCCUCAGUGUUUCUGCCCCAGUACGUUUUGGUUACUGAGACCCUCGAAUUCCCAUAUGAAUUGUAGCAGCAGCUAGUCAGUUUCUGCAGAGGAGACCGCAGGGAUUGUGAUCGAGACCACGUUGAAUAUACGGAUCGUUCUGGGGAGCACUGCCAUUCCAAAAGCGCUGUCUUCUGAUCCAGCAAUGUGCGUGGUUUGUCCAGGUGCCCUCACCUCCAGUAGCAUCCAUCCAGACACCGGAACUGACACUGGCCGUGCUCCGAACUGCCUCAGCCCUGAAGACACAACUGACAAAUAGAAGGGGACCACGCCCUGUUACAGCAGGUGCUCUCACUUUGUGGAUCCUUAUGUAACUGAGCGGUGUUAAUCAGGAUUGCCCGUUCUACAUUGUGUGGCGCUGCUGCGGUGUCUCCUAGUUACUUGUUUCUUGUAAGAAUUCCGGUGACUGAGUUAGAAGCAUGCUUCCAAGCUGUCCGUGUCCUCGGCAUCCAGAAGCGGAGCCUGGAAGCUUCCGAAUUUCUCCAGAAUGCAGUCUACAUUCACCUUCGGCAGGGCAGGAAGCCUAGACCAAAAGCUGGGUAAUGUGAUCCGAGCUACGGUAGCCAUUUGAAGACUCUGAGGACAAACUGUACCUCCGGAUUUACUUGAGCUUCCCUUGCCUUCUGGUUGGUACACACCAGGUCAUCGCAACCCAGAUGGACCUGCAGCCCACAGUACAGUAUGUACCUCGAUCUCCUCUCCCCUCUCGUCAGGGCCUGCAGCAUGAGCAUCCCUGACUACGUGCACUGUGCUGAGGACCACCAGACUUUCCCCGUGGUGGUCGAACACGUGGGGAUCAUCUCAGAGGAGAAUUUCUUUUGCAUCUAUAAGUGAAUCACCUUGGUGAGUCAGAUCAGUCCGUGCAGCUCCCAGUGGGCAAACUGUAUCCACUACAGGCACCACUAUGCACCCAAGAAUGGGUGGAGCGACUUCCAGACCCACCGCAAGGUCUUGGGCCUUGUCAUCAUUACUGAAUGCCUCUCGGCCAAGGCUUCGAAAAGCUCCACGUGCAGAGGAGCUGUAUGGCACCACGCUCUAUGACUCUCAGCUCUUUGACUUUCUGCUGCAUGGGGAGGUGGCCGAGCAGCCACGCACCGAAGUGGCCUUCAAUUUACGAGGACUGCAGGGUGGUGGAGAAGAGGAUCGACGACUUCACUGAGUCACUCUUCAUCUUGCCCAAGUCCAAGUGGCUGGACGGUGCAUCCGACAAUUCUGGGGACAAGAUCCUCCUUCUCUGCAUCCCAUUUGAGAAGGAGGACAUCAUGGGACUGGACACAGAAAGCAGUACGUUUUGGUUACUGAGUCCCUCAAAUUCCCAUAUGAAUAGUAGCAGCAGCUAGUCAGUUACUGCAGAGGAGCCCGCUGGGAUUGUGAUCGAGACCACGUUGAGUAUACAGAUCGCUCUGGGGAGCACUGCCAUCCCAAGAGCGCUGUCAUCUGAUCCAGGAAUGUGCGUGGUGUGUCUGUCCAGGGGAAAAGAGUACAAUUCAAAAAUAUAAAGAUUGUGAGCUAAUGAGAUAGACAAGACAACCGAACAUUUGUUAAAUAUCCUUUCAUGCCGGACACAAAUGUAUUAUACACACAAAAAGCACACAAAUCACGGUAGUACUGCGGUUACAAACGUGGGUCCGAGUUCGAGUCCUGCUCUGGAGUGACCAGUCCUGUGAGAUGGAGAACUGAGAUCUAUGUAUAGUUUUUUACAUUCUAUACCUGGAAAUUUCUCCAAAACUGCUUCCCACGUGAGUCCCAUGGCUCGGGAAUGGGGUGGUUCUGCUCAUUGACGGGGGUUGGCCAGAAACAGAAAAUGACAGCCUCAAAGGAGCCUGGGAUUUGUCAGUUAUGUUUUGUCAGUGCUGUAGAUUUCAGAAAACGCUUUCACCGUUUCUCUCCAUCUGAGGUGGCAGCGUGCUCUCUUAGCAGCAUCAGGAGCUCAGGGCCGCGGGAUGGUGGGGGCUGACUGCACUGCUAUCAAGACAGCUGUGCCAGUCACUGCAGGCGUGGUGAUUUUACAUAGUGCAUUUCAUGUUCUUUAAUAGGUUUCAACAGGUAGUUAAUUAACUGAGUUAAUUAACAUUUAAAAAAUAUGAUGCUUUGUUGAAAAGACAGUUAUAGGCAGAAUAUAAGUUGUGAACACUUUAAAAACGGUUUCAUUACUGAAAUUUUAGUAGGGAAGAUUUAGUUUAUCUUAUUUACACCUCUCUUCAAAAGUAACAAAGAAACAAGACAGAAAAAGCAGAGGAUGAUUUCUGUUCUUCCUCUCGGCUUGCAGGUGCCCUCACCUCCAGUGGCAUCCAUCCAGACACCAGCACUGACACUGGCCGUGCUCAGAACUGCCUCAGCCCUGAAGACACAACUGACAAAUAGAAGGGGGACACGCCCUGUGACAGCAGGUGCUCUCACUUUGUGGGUCCUUAUGUAACUGCGCAGUGUUAUUCAGGAUCGCCCGUUCUACACUGUGUGACGCUGCUGCCGUGUCUCCUAGUUAUUUCUGAGAGGAAAAGAAGUCUAAACUUACUUUCCAGUUGAAAAUGGAAUGGAGAGUUAACGUUGGAAGCCGGGAGAGUCUGUCCUGUGAUGAAGCGGCCUCCUAGCCACUUCCACUGGGACGUCACGUCACUGUCUGGGCCCCUUGCUCAGCCUGUGCACAGGUGACAGCGCAGAUGUGCCGAGCAGUCCUCCCGGACAGGGCAGUGGGUUGGAAAGGAGUUUGGGGAUUUGGUUUCAUUUCAUAGGUUUCUGAGGGCCUUGGCCUGGCACUUCGAGUGGGACCAUUCCCUGUCCCACAUACUCGUGCUCUGGGCCCGUGCAGGCCUGAUGUGGCCUCAGCCUGAGGCUCAGGGCCCGUGGUGAAGUGGAGAAUUUUAGUCCAGGGUCUGUGGAGGCUCUGACAAUUCUGGGUCGUGGGACAUUGUCCAGGAUGAUAAUAAUUCUUCCCCGAGUUUCAGAUUUCCUUGCCUGUGAGACGGGGUAGUAAUAGUUUCUGAGAUGAUUGUAAUGAUUCAGUAAGGGGCGCAGCGUGUGCUGGCAGGUAGCUGGUGCUUAAGGAGCAGAAGUCGCAGUCACUCUGUCAGCCUCUCACUGUGUGCUCUGUGCUUUGAGAAGAUGUGUAUUUGGUGAAAGUCCUGCCCAAAUACUAGGGUCUAGAUGAAACGUUGUUCCUUUACUUUCCCUUUCUUUUGCUCCUUCCUUUCUCUGCGUCUCAUGUGUAGGGAGCAGAUUCCUCUGUUUCAGGGAAUACAGGCCUUUCUAGGAAAAGGACAGGAUGAACGUGGAUAGGUGGGGCCGGAGGGGGUCUGGAGCAUCUGCACAGCGCUGCUUCCCUGCAUUUCUGCAUCCGGUCCCAUCAGUGCACGAACGUUCCUAGGAGAGAAUUCAGCAGUGCAGCAUCCUCUCCGAGCUCUAUGAGUUGAUCGGCUUCCACUGCAAGUCCGUCUUCUUCAAGUGGGUGGCCCCCGUGCAGCGCUUGGCCCCCGGCAUCCCGGAGCCUGGCGGGAAGGCCUGCUACCGACUCCUUCUGCAGACGCUUCCUGGCUACAGUCUGUCACUGAUUCUGCAGGAUUCAACAAAGGUUUUGGGACUAAAACAUUGCUUCAGUCCGAUUAACCAUGCCUUGUUUGGGCCCUGCUCUCCUGUCUCAACAGGGUGAAUUGUGAUUCGUGUAGAGCAGGACACAGCAGACUUUUUUCUGUCAAGGGCUUGGGAGGCAAUAUUUCAGGAUCUGCAAACCUCCUGAUCUCUGGUGCAGCUGCUCAGCUCUGCUGUUCAGACGCCAGAGCAGCCGGAGAGUCCACACACCCACAGAGCUUUAUUCACAGCAGUGGCUGGGGCUGGAUUGGGUGUAUGAACUGCAGUUUGUCCCCACAGCCUCCUCACUAUUGACGACUGUACCUGAGCGUGCAUUUGCGACAAUGGGUGAACCUACACUGACACGUCAUCAUCACCAAGAGCCCAUACUUGACACUAGGAUUUACACUUGGUGGUGUGCACUCUGUGGGUUUGGACAGAUGUACAAUGACACGUUUCUACCAUCACAGCAUCAUACAGAGUAGUCUGUCUUAGUGACCCUAAAAAUGCUCCUUGCUGCACCUCAUUCAUUACUCCUUCCCCUCUAGCCUCUGACAGUAACUGAUCUUUUAGUCUCUGUGGUUUUGCCUUUCCCAGAACACCAUACAGUUGGAAUCAGACAGUUGCAGAAUCUUCCCAGAUCGGCUUCUUUCACUUAGUAAUAUGCAUUUAAGGUUCCUCCAUGUCUUUCCAUGCCUUGAUAACUCAUUUUAUUUUAACACCAUAAAUAGUCCAUUUUCUGCCUGGACCACAGUUUAUUUAUCCAUUCACCUACUGAAGAACAGCUUAGUUGUUUCUGAGUUCUGGUGAUUAUGAAUAAAGCUGCUAUUAACAUCUGUAUGCAGAUUUGUGUGUGGACGUAAUUUUCCAUUUUGUUCAGUAAACACCAAGGAGCACAGUUGCCAGAUCAUAUGGUAGGAGUACGUUUAGUUUUGUAAAAAAUUGCCAGACCGUCUUCCAAAGUAUCUGGGCCAUUUUUCAUUCCCACCAGCAAUGCAAGAAAAUUCCUGACGCUCCACAUCCUCACCAGCAUUUGGUGCUGUCAGUGUUCUGAGUUUUGGCAGUUCUGACUGGUGUGCAGUGAUAACUCACUGUUUCAGUCUGCAGCCCCUUGAUGACAGAUGCUGUGGAGCAUGUUUCCAUAGAUUUCUUUGGCAUCUAGUUUCCAUGUUGAGGUGUGUGUUGAGGCAUUUUGCUCAUUUUUUAAGCAGGUUAUUCAUUCUUCUUGUUGAGUUUAAAGAGAUUUUGGUGUAUUCUGGAUAUCAGCCCUUUAUCAAUGUGUCCCUGCCCUUCACCUGCAGCACCGGAGUUGUCCUUUGGGUCUCAGUGGAGUGUCAGCUCUUCAAAGAGGUUCCCUGUCUUCCCUCACCUAAAUACUGUCCUUGAACUUUUCACUUUCAUUGACUCACUUUGUUCUUUUUAAAUAGCAUUUCCCAUAAUUUGUAAGUACAUUAAAAAAAAAGGCAAUGAUUGAACACUGCCUCCCCCACCAGGCUGUGUGCCCUGUGAGAGCAGAGACCCUGUCCCCACUCACCAUGUCCCAUGACAGCACAUGUCACAUGUCCAUGUAAAUGUGUGUAACGUGGGGCCAAACCUGAUGAGCAGCUAUGACGACAUGUGUUGGCUACCAUUCAUUGAAUAGAGUUUGUUUCUUGAUCUUAAUUUUAAAUCACAUGAAUGAAACAUGUUUCUUUUGAAAAAUAAAACAACAAAGCACACCUCCAUGUGAUUGGUACUUUCUACUUAGCCUUCUGACCCAGGAGGGGACGUUCACCAUCAUUUUGUGGAGGAGGUUGGGGAGGUAAAGUAGGAGAGUGAGAUCAAAUAAAGUAAAAAUGAUAACAAUCAGCUGGCUUUAUUUUCACUAAGACAAAUGUUACUUUAAACCAUACCUCAGCUGUUGUUCUGUUGUUUUAAACACUUCUCAUAGAAUUAAAUGGAAGCCCACUAAACCCUGAAAGGGAAAUUAUGUGCUCAGGUCCUGAAAAGUGUUUAUGUCUAUUUCUUGAAAUGCACAUUUUCCCUGCUGGUUACAGAAUGUCAUGGCGGGAACACAGCCGUGAGCUGUGUGUGUCUGCCAGCUUCACGGGCUGCUCACUGUCAUUUUCAUUUUCUUGUGUUGCAGUGUAUGAAGGUUUUCCAUCAGACUGUUUGCUCAGCCCCUUCCUGAAUGAGGGAUUGAAUUUUCCACAGGAAAUCUUAUGGAAGAGAGUGACAAGGCACAUGGGUUUCCCAAAAAGCAAUAGUUGUUGUAAUAAACUCUCACAUUGGUGAACUUUUUGAAUACAAGCGAGUUGAAAAUUUUAUCACUAGGUCAUAUGCCACAAAUCUGUCUUAAGAAUAAAAAGAUUCAGAUUUUAUAGAAGAAGCAGUUUGAAUCAAGUAUAAAUUACAAUUUGUACACUAGUUGGUGUUAGAACAUGUACUCACUCUUACCAUAAUUGCCUGUGGUAGGAACUGGAUCAUUAUUUAUUUAUUUAAAAAAAAUCCUCAAGGUUCUACUUGCCUCAUUCUUGAUGCGGCAGUGCUGAGGUUAGUUAAGUUGGGACAUUUAGAAUUCUUGGCUAGGUUUUCAGGACAUUGAUUUCAGCCUCUUUAUCUUUUUUAGAAUCUCUUCUUUGUGUCGGUCUUUGGUCUUUUGACAAUGUGGAAAUACUGCACAGAUCAGUCUUUCCCUUUUUCCUGUCUUUAUGGGAAAAGAUUUCUGUAAGACACACUACUAGGACAUUAAGCAUUUUGUGUGGGGUAAGUUUGGUCGGCUCAAAGGAUUUCAAUUAAUACGUAUUAAUACUUGCUAUUCAGCUAAUGAUAAGAAAAUUAUAAAAUAACUUAAUUAUACAUCAAUAAAUAUAGUACAAUAAGCCCAUCACCCAGAUUAAGGAAUUCACAAACAUUUCCAUAUUUCCUUUAUUCAGACCUUUGUUCUUUUACUUGUCCUUUGUUGAAGUAUUUGACAGCAAAUUCAAGAAAACAUGUCAUUUUACCCUAUGUACUCAAGUAGGCAUGUCUGAAAAAUGAGGGCCAUUUCUUUGAUCAGGUUUUUCCAUUUGACUUAUGUGCUCGUUAAGUACCAGCUGUAUCAGGCAUCUCACUAGGCAUUAGGAAUCCUUGGGGCAAUGAGACAGUCCUGGCUCCCAAGGAAGUUAAGGGCUGAUGGAAGAAACCAACACAGGAGCUUAGGUGCCUCACCUAAGGUCCCUGCGGGAUGACACCAAUUGGAAAAAAUUUGUGCACAAUACAGUGGGAUUCACAGAAGGGACUGGUCAGACUAGUAGGGCAGGCCGUGAGAGAGGCGGUCAGCAGGGCUACAAGAGGAGGAAUCAUUUGAUCAGAAUCUGAAAUCUUUUCUGCCAACCUUCCUACCAAGCCCUAGGGCCCAUCACACACAACCCUGUGCUGUAACUGUUUUUGAUUCCUGUUACCACGUCUCCUUCAGGAAGGAUUUUAAGGUGGAAAAUAUUUAAAAUCAGUAAUUGUUGCCAGAAGGGACAUAGAACAAAGAACAUGGAAACAACACAAAUGUCCAUCAGCACAUGACUGGAUAAAGACAAGGUGAUACAUAUCUACAAUGGAAUACUACUCAGCCAUAACAGAUGCAAUUUGCAGCAACAUGGAUGGACCUGAAGACUGUCAUUCUAAGUGAAGUGGGGUGAAAAGAGAAAGAAAAAUGCCAUAAGACUUCAUUUAUGAGGAAUCUAAAAUUAAUAGCAAUAAUAAUAAGACCACAAAUGAACUAAUUGUUAUUUUGAUUUCUUGAAUAUGCUUAAGCACAUAUGACUGUCCUUUGUGAUUGGAUUACCAUAUUCUGUUUAUUAUUCUUUUGUAGUUGGCUUUAUUCCUCUGGUAACUAUGUAAGUUUAAAAAUCUGAAACUCUAAUCUGUUCUUAGAAACAAUAAUUAGUACAUAUAUGUAACUAAAAAAAUGCAGUAUACUCUAUACAUGUAUUUACAUGCAAUGUGUAUGUGGAGUUGAACUGUAAUAAUUAUACCUAAUAAUACUGAAAAAGGAAAAAAAUAAAAUAAUAUAUAAAAAAACUA
Long non-coding RNA from Camelus dromedarius (Arabian camel), 10001 nucleotides. RefSeq lists it as uncharacterized. The transcript is spliced from 13 exons. NCBI's taxonomy places the organism in Eukaryota, Metazoa, Chordata, Mammalia, Artiodactyla, Camelidae. The record is from RefSeq and is a predicted model, not a curated record.